GAUGAACGCUGGCGGCGUGCCUAAUACAUGCCAGUCGAGCGAACAGAUGAGGAGCUUGCUCCUCUGACGUUAGCGGCGGACGGGUGAGUAACACGUGGAUAACCUACCUAUAAGACUGGGAUAACUUCGGGAAACCGGAGCUAAUACCGGAUAAUAUAUUGAACCGCAUGGUUCAAUAGUGAAAGACGGUUUUGCUGUCACUUAUAGAUGGAUCCGCGCCGCAUUAGCUAGUUGGUAAGGUAACGGCUUACCAAGGCAACGAUGCGUAGCCGACCUGAGAGGGUGAUCGGCCACACUGGAACUAAGACACGGUCCAGACUCCUACGGGAGGCAGCAGUAGGGAAUCUUCCGCAAUGGGCGAAAGCCUGACGGAGCAACGCCGCGUGAGUGAUGAAGGUCUUCGGAUCGUAAAACUCUGUUAUUAGGGAAGAACAAAUGUGUAAGUAACUAUGCACGUCUUGACGGUACCUAAUCAGAAAGCCACGGCUAACUACGUG
Molecule: ribosomal RNA, 497 nt
Filed under: uncultured bacterium
Lineage: Bacteria
Description: partial 16S ribosomal RNA
Rfam family: Bacterial small subunit ribosomal RNA
Source: RNAcentral